CUACGCACUCCUACGGGAGGCAGCAGUGGGGGAAUAUUGCACGAAUGGGCGCAAGCCUGAUGCAGCCAUGCCGCGUGUAUGAAGAAGGCCUUCGGGUUGUAAAGUACUUUCAGCAGUGAGGAAGGUGGGUAUGUUAAUAGCAUAUUCAUUUGACGUUAGCUGCAGAAGAAGCACCGGCUAACUCCGUGCCAGCAGCCGCGGUAAUACGGAGGGUGCGAGCGUUAAUCGGAAUUACUGGGCGUAAAGCGCAUGCAGGUGGUUUGUUAAGUCAGAUGUGAAAGCCCGGGGCUCAACCUCGGAAUUGCAUUUGAAACUGGCAAACUAGAGUACUGUAGAGGGGGUAGAAUUUCAGGUGUAGCGGUGAAAUGCGUAGAGAUCUGAAGGAAUACCGGUGGCGAAGGCGGCCCCCCUGGACAGAUACUGACACUCAGAUGCGAAAGCGUGGGGAGCAAACAGGAUUAGAUACCCUGGUAG
Molecule: ribosomal RNA, 474 nt
Filed under: uncultured bacterium
Lineage: Bacteria
Description: bacterial SSU rRNA
Rfam family: Bacterial small subunit ribosomal RNA
Source: RNAcentral